AUUACAAAAAAAGCGGGAAUGGAAAUGAAAAAUGCAAGCAAUUUGUUUAAAUUAAAACAAACCGAAAAGAUUACUACCGACAUAAAGUCGAUCGAUAAAUUUCUGCGUGGCGGCAUUGCACUGGGCAAAAUAACCGAGCUAGUUGGCACGCCCGGCACAGGAAAGACACAAAUGUGGCAACUUGAGGCUCUGCUUAAAUGUGCAGUUACCUCAGAAAAUUGGCGGAGUGGAAGGCAAAGCUUUAUUUCUAGACACCCGAAAAGACUUUGAUCCCGCCAGAUUACAAGAGUUGGCAACGGAUCUGGAGAAGCGCCUUCAAAAUCAAUUGACAGACUUUAAAGCUAGCGAUAUGUUAAAAAAUGUAUUUUAUUUGGAUUGUCCAAGUGCUGCUCAACUGAUCGCAAGCAUUUUAAAUUUACGCAAGUUACUGAGUGCUCAACCCACUAUCAAACUAAUUGUUGUGGACUCAUUGGCAUUUCCAAUUCGAAUGCUGGAAAGCGUAGCUGAGCGAACUGCUCUUCUCAUGGAAAUACACGAUGCCAUGCAGAGAAUACUGCGCCUUUACAGUGUAACCUUUGUGAUAACUAAUGAGCUUGGAUACCACCGACGCAAACGUCGUUGGCAAUUACAGCCGAUAUUGGGUCAAAAACACAUGCAUUUAAUUAAUGAGCGCAUCUGGUGUACCGAAAAUGAGUAUUUUAUGGGCAAAACGCUUAAUACCAGAAUGUUUAUUACUAAAAAAUGAUGUCUGUGAUUCAUUUUGUAUAAGUUAUUCUUCUUGAUAAUAUUGUAUUUUUAAAAUAAAAUUCUUACAAAAUAAAAUAUAUCUGUAGAUUA
RNA transcript from Drosophila innubila, 837 nucleotides. It is a transcript of the gene named DNA repair protein RAD51 homolog 3, with no coding region annotated. NCBI's taxonomy places the organism in Eukaryota, Metazoa, Arthropoda, Insecta, Diptera, Drosophilidae. The record is from RefSeq and is a predicted model, not a curated record. The transcript has 5 exons.